GCGCCUGUAGCUCAGAGGAUAGAGUAUUGGUCUCCGGAACCAAGGGUCGCAGGUUCGACUCCUGCCAGGCGCGCCA
Molecule: transfer RNA, 76 nt
Filed under: Candidatus Aminicenantota bacterium
Lineage: Bacteria; Candidatus Aminicenantota
Description: tRNA-Arg
Rfam family: tRNA
About the family: Transfer RNA (tRNA) molecules are approximately 80 nucleotides in length. Their secondary structure includes four short double-helical elements and three loops (D, anti-codon, and T loops).
Source: RNAcentral